Molecule: ribosomal RNA, 497 nt
Filed under: uncultured bacterium
Lineage: Bacteria
Description: partial 16S ribosomal RNA
Rfam family: Bacterial small subunit ribosomal RNA
Source: RNAcentral
GAUGAACGCUGGCGGCGUGCCUAAUACAUGCAAGUCGAGCGAACAGACGAGGAGCUUGCUCCUUUGACGUUAGCGGCGGACGGGUGAGUAACACGUGGGUAACCUACCUAUAAGACUGGGAUAACUUCGGGAAACCGGAGCUAAUACCGGAUAAUAUUUCGAACCGCAUGGUUCGAUAGUGAAAGAUGGCUUUGCUAUCACUUAUAGAUGGACCUGCGCCGUAUUAGCUAGUUGGUAAGGUAACGGCUUACCAAGGCAACGAUACGUAGCCGACCUGAGAGGGUGAUCGGCCACACUGGAACUGAGACACGGUCCAGACUCCUACGGGAGGCAGCAGUAGGGAAUCUUACGCAAUGGGCGAAAGCCUGACGGAGCAACGCCGCGUGAGUGAUGAAGGUCUUCGGAUCGUAAAACUCUGUUAGUAGGGAAGAACAAACGUGUAAGUAACUGUGCACGUCUUGACGGUACCUAAUCAGAAAGCCACGGCUAACUACGUG